RNAcentral lists this long non-coding RNA (2107 nucleotides) under Salvia miltiorrhiza (redroot sage). Its description in RNAcentral is "long non-coding RNA (SMIL_LNC008550)". The record is from RNAcentral. Lineage: Eukaryota; Viridiplantae; Streptophyta; Magnoliopsida; Lamiales; Lamiaceae.
UGCUUUCCAACCGACGUUCCUUACAAUUUUGGAACUAUUGGCGAUGAUCUAGAUGGAGGUAUCAAUUUGUUUAAGUAAUUUUCAUUUAAUUGUUUUAUUACUUUUUCUAUAUAUGUCUUCCAUUUGUCGCCGGUAUCUAGAUUUCUUUCUCUCUCCAACAUCACGUUUCUUUUCAUCUUCUAGUUUUUCAAUUCAGCUUCUAUUUCUCUAUAUUUUUCCAUAAAGUUUCUAUUCUUUAUUUGUCUUCCAGUAACAUCAGCAACAGUUUUAGGGUUUUUUUUAAUUCAGUUUCUCUUUCUCAAUUCAGUUGGCGCGACAGGCGGCGAUCGGCGAGGAGACUGGCAAAGCAAGAAGAAAGAAAAGGGAGAAGAUUUUGGCAAACGGUGCAAGGGCCUCUAAUUUAUUUAGGGAAUCUUCUAAUUAAAUUUGGUUACAUUUCAUAUUAUGCCUUUUUUGUUCUGAAUUUUCAGUUUUGGGAUUUCCAAGCUCCAUUCAAGAAGUCAGUUGGGCCUCCGAGAAGAUCACCUCUAGAUGGUAAAUUUGAUUGCAACUUCACCUUUAUCACCUUUAUUUUUCUUCUUCUUUUUCUUGAUAUGCAUCCAUUAGUGCGCUAACCUUUUUGUUGCUUGAUGGAAAUAAGUUCUGUAUGUGUGGUUCUUUGCAAUUGUGCACAUAAUUACAAAAUAUUAUCCCAUAUAAUGAAGUAGAUUUGCUCAGUUAUAUGAGUGAAGUAGAAGUGAAGUAGAAGUCCUGGAAUUCUUGCCAUUGGUGAUUAUUUGAAAGUUAUUUCUCUUUUAGCUUCUCUUUCUCUCUCUCUCUCUCUUUCCGGCAGUCUUCUUCCUUCAAGGUCUGCAGCUUCUUCUCAAUCUUUAAUGCUGGCAGAUUCGCCCUUCAAUGUCAUAGCUUCUUUUCUACAAGCUUCUUGCUUUAAAUUUGCAGAUUUUGUGGUUCGUUGGAAUAUAAAGAAGAGCAACAUUAUUGCUAUCUUUUUUUUAUUGUUCUUUUGACAUGUACUAAGGGCUUUGAGCAUAAUUAUUGGUAUCUUUUCUUUUUCCUCUCAUUAUAUCUUGUGUUCCAUAGCCUUCAAACUUUGUACGAAUUAUGAUUUUUUUGUUCGGUGAACUGCUAGAAUUUACUAUCUGGAAUUUGUUGAGCAGCUUUCCUUCUUAAUUAUUUUAAAUUUGAAUGGGUUUUACAUCAGCAUUUUAUGGUGCCUGAAACUAAAAAUUUAUGUUUUCGAAGGUAUCUGCGUUGAAUGAGGCUGUUUCUAGAAGUGUGAAGUUGGUGUUCAAAGCUUUGGAGCAGCGGCUUAACUCUCCAGAGGUACUCCAAUGAUUUGCUGAGUUUUGGUUAUUGAUACGUUUUUCCAUGAAUUGAAGAUAUUAGUUCAUGUUUAAGCCGUGAAAUAUGCUUGAUAUUUCUUUGUCAUGUUUUUCUUUCCCCCUGGAUUAGUAACACUUAGUAUGGAUUAACAAGGUGUUAGUUGAUAUGGAUCUCUCUUCUAUUUUUUUUUUUUUUCUCAAUUAGAUGAUUGCAGAAGCUUUUCUUUCUCUUUUUCUGCAAUUAUUGCUUAUCUUUCAUCGCAAGACCAGUAACUUCUUGCUUCUCCUUCCUUCAUUUUCUUGCUUCUCCUUUGGUCUUUCAAUUUAUUGCUUCUCUUUUAUCUUUUUUCAUUUUCAGUAGCUUUUUUGCUUCUCUUCAAAUUUCAUUUUCAGCAAACAAUGCAAAUUUUUGGACCAGCAUCAUUAUGAAGAAUCAACUUGGUUCUUGGGGAUGGGAAAUGAGUGCAGUCCCCUCUAUUUUUCUCGACCCCAGUCAAACUUUACGUAUAUUUUUUUGGAUGAUUAGUGUAUUAAGAUUGAAAUUUCUCUGGUUUCAUUAUGCAUUUAGUGAUAAAAUGGUCUUUUCCAUUUUACCAUGUUGCUCAAAACUCUUAGAUUCAGACCACCCAUUUCUUGACUGUUUCCUAUGGGAUUGGAGGCCACGUUUGAUCUUUUGGGAGUUCUAUGCUAUCAAGUAAAUUGAUGGUGAAGCAUGUAAAUAAUUUGUAUGCUAUUCUAUUAUUUGUUGAAGCACAUAUUUGAGUUUUGAGAAAUAGAAAAUUUGC